Molecule: long non-coding RNA, 561 nt
Organism: Plectropomus leopardus (leopard coralgrouper)
Lineage: Eukaryota; Metazoa; Chordata; Actinopteri; Perciformes; Serranidae
Source: RefSeq, a predicted model, not a curated record
CGCUGCUGCUGCUGCUGCUGCUGCUGCUGCUGGGGAGACGGUCACUUGACACAUUUUCUGCAGGAAGAAGAUGUGACAUAAAUAUGAAGAUUUCGAUCAGCGGAUGCGGAUGAAUGGAUCAUAAACCUCCGGAUUUCUUUUAACGACCAGACUGCAGAGGGGAAGUUUUGAUGCCUGUCUGGAAGAAAGGAGCUGCAACACCUUCAGGAGUUCACCAACAAACAAACGGAUGCAAUUAAACGCGUUCGCCUUCAGAUCAUCAAUGAGGAGAGCAAAGUCAAGACUGGUGGAAAAGGCGACAAGGACGAAUGGAAGACGGGAGAAGACUCCGCCGCCUCAAGGUUAAACUUGAACUGUGUUAAGAGCCUGACUUCUCUCUUGAUACUUCUUCUACAAACACACAUUAGUAGCACUUUUAUAUUAAACAUCCUCAUUUUACAACCUGAUAUAACUCUUAAUCGAUGUUAUAAUUUUGUAUGCUUGCUAAAAAAAAAACAUUUCUUUCCUACUGUCACACUGUGUUGGAAGUAAUCAAAAAAUAAUUUGAAAAUAAAGGCUGUC